Molecule: ribosomal RNA, 506 nt
Filed under: uncultured bacterium
Lineage: Bacteria
Description: partial 16S ribosomal RNA
Rfam family: Bacterial small subunit ribosomal RNA
Source: RNAcentral
AUUGAACGCUGGCGGCAGGCUUAACACAUGCAAGUCGAGCGGUAACAGAGAGAAGCUUGCUUCUCUGCUGACGAGCGGCGGACGGGUGAGUAAUGCCUAGGAAUCUGCCUAGUAGUGGGGGAUAACUUGCCGAAAGGUAAGCUAAUACCGCAUACGUCCUGCGGGAGAAAGGAGGGGACCUUCGGGCCUUUCGCUAUUAGAUGAGCCUAGGUCGGAUUAGUUAGUUGGGGAGGUAAUGGCUCACCAAGACCGCGAUCCGUAACUGGUCUGAGAGGAUGAUCAGUCACACUGGAACUGAGACACGUUCCAGACUCCUACGGGAGGCAGCAGUGGGGAAUAUUGGACAAUGGGGGGAACCCUGAUCCAGCCAUGCCGCGUGUGUGAAGAAGGUCUUAGGAUUGUAAAGCACUUUAAGUUGGGAGGAAGAGCAGUUAACUAAUAUUUGACUGUUUUGACGUUACCGACAGAAUAAGCACCGGCUAACUUCGUGCCAGCCGCCGCAGUAA